This is a non-coding RNA of Stegodyphus mimosarum, 72 nucleotides long. NCBI's taxonomy places the organism in Eukaryota, Metazoa, Arthropoda, Arachnida, Araneae, Eresidae. The record is from Rfam.
ACAUUCGUGGUGUAAUGGGUAGCACAUUCGGCGCGUAUCCGAGAGGUCCUGGUUCGAGUCCCGGCGAUGGCA